RNAcentral lists this ribosomal RNA (492 nucleotides) under uncultured bacterium. RNAcentral describes it as "partial 16S ribosomal RNA". It matches the Rfam family "Bacterial small subunit ribosomal RNA", at positions 29 to 507 of the family's 1533-position model. The record is from RNAcentral.
AGUGAACGCUGGCGGUAGGCCUAACACAUGCAAGUCGAACGGCAGCACAGUAAGAGCUUGCUCUUACGGGUGGCGAGUGGCGGACGGGUGAGGAAUACAUCGGAAUCUACUUUUUCGUGGGGGAUAACGUAGGGAAACUUCCGCUAAUACCGCAUACGACCUCCGGGUGAAAGCAGGGGAUCUUCGGACCUUGCGCGAUUGAAUGAGCCGAUGUCGGAUUAGCUAUUUGGCGGGGUAAAGGCCCACCAAGGCGACGAUCCGUAGCUGGUCUGAGAGGAUGAUCAGCCACACUGGAACUGAGACACGGUCCAGACUCCUACGGGAGGCAGCAGUGGGGAAUAUUGGACAAUGGGCGCAAGCCUGAUCCAGCCAUACCGCGUGGGUGAAGAAGGCCUUCGGGUUGUAAAGCCCUUUUGCUGGGAAAGAAAAGCAGCAGGUUAAUACCCCGCUGUUCUGACGGUACCCAAAGAAUAAGCACCGGCUAACUUCGUG